Manis javanica (Malayan pangolin) is the source of this 1036-nucleotide non-coding RNA. The record is from RefSeq and is a predicted model, not a curated record. Lineage: Eukaryota; Metazoa; Chordata; Mammalia; Pholidota; Manidae.
CAUUUCGUAAAGGUUAAUUCACAGCUCCAGGUUGAUGAAGUGCACCGCCGGUGCCAUCUGCAUUUUAGCGCAGCCGCCCUGUCAGUCAAACCCUCUGCCCUGCUCAGCCGGCCUCUCUCCCUCGGAGGGAACGUCCCCCUGUCCCCUCCUGGCCCCGUCCGCCCUCCCCACAUGCAUUCUCCUUCCUUAGUCGAGGGGGAGACAAAAUUGUUGUCUUCCAUUCCGUGAAUUCCCUUUUCCUUUAGGCAGCUGCCUUUCAAAUUCCCACAUUCAUGAUUUAAUAUAAAAUAAUAAUAACCUUCCCUUCACAAAUUCCAGUGGCAAAAAAUUCAGAUGUUUUUUCUUUCCAUCCUCACUUCUUCCUCCCUCCCUCUCUCUCUCUUUCCUUCUUUUAUCUUCCUUCCUUCCUUCCCUCCCACCCAACCUCCUUCCCUCUCUCCUUUUUUCCUUCCUUCUAGACUUUAAUUUUAAUGCCUUUUCCCAUAGGGAGCAAAAACUCCAGGACCUCUCAUUUCCUUCAUGCUGUUUCUGGAACCCAGGGUCACACGUGAGAGGCGCUGCAGCGCCGCGGGAGGGGGGGCCUCUGGCCAUCGUCCUGGACCAUCGGCACCUUGUGGCGACACGUCCCCACUCAUUGGCCCCCAGCAGCCGUCCACGCAGCCCACCAGUACUGCUCCUGGUCCCAUUCACGGCUAUAGGCGGCCCCCAUUCCUCUGCGCAUUAUGGGACGGAGCCAUGCUCUUCGUGAUUCUGCCAGUAACGAUGCCCCUCACUUCUCAUGAGGGGGCCUGCACAGCUGAUAUUGGAAGACCAGACAAGAAUAAAGGCCGGUCAGAGGUUGGCAGUAUGUAGCGGUGACAACACCCGAUAAGCAGACGCCUCUUCCCAUAAUGCACUGUUAUGGGCACCUCACCAUCUAGAUGCCAACCCAGAGGACAAGGGACCUGAGGCAGUUGAGCCUCGCGUGACAUUCUGAGGAGCCAGGAGCCCAGCGAAUCACCCGUGCCUGCACAGUGUUGUUGAUUAGACGUUGGAG